UACAGGGGGGGCAAGCGUUGUUCGGAAUUACUGGGCGUAAAGGGCGCGUAGGCGGCCUUCUAAGUCGAACGUGAAAUCCCCGGGCUCAACCCGGGAACUGCGUCCGAGACUGAAAGGCUUGAAUCCGGGAGAGGGAUGUGGAAUUCCAGGUGUAGCGGUGAAAUGCGUAGAUAUCUGGAGGAACAUCGGUGGCGAAGGCGGCAUCCUGGACCGGUAUUGACGCUGAGGCGCGAAAGCCAGGGGAGCAAACGGG
Molecule: ribosomal RNA, 253 nt
Filed under: uncultured bacterium
Lineage: Bacteria
Description: partial 16S ribosomal RNA
Rfam family: Bacterial small subunit ribosomal RNA
Source: RNAcentral